Molecule: long non-coding RNA, 695 nt
Filed under: Equus asinus (donkey)
Lineage: Eukaryota; Metazoa; Chordata; Mammalia; Perissodactyla; Equidae
Description: lncRNA (ENSEASG00005032442.1)
Source: RNAcentral
CCGAGGGCCAGAAGCACAGGAGGUUGGAAAACGGACAUUUUCCUUCUGUUCUUAAACCAGUCAGUGAACAGCUGGGUACCGAGAAAAUGAGCAGGUGAUUUCAGAUUUACGAAGUUGCAUCCUGCCCCCCUAGGCAGAGCCUUUGAGAGCAGAAGGUGGGAGGCUGACAGAGAUAGGUAGAUGUGGGCAUCUGAACCCAAAACACUAGCUCUGAUUACAUAUGGACCCUUGAACCAGCUGCUAGAAAGGGCUGCCAUAGUGCCAGGAAACUGUCCCUCUCUCAGUGUGGAGAAGCCAGGGUCUCCAUCCCAUCCCCUACCAUUUCCUUCCUAUGGCAAUGAGAACAAAGUUGGGAAGAACUAAAGUUCCAAACAGAGGCUGCUGCUUUACCUUGGGUCUCUGGAAUGAAAAUGAUGUGGAGCACAGCUGGAGCUGAUCUACAAUGGACAUGUGGCAUGAAUGAGAAGGGCGAUACAGUUGCCAUUAAAGGAGAAAAGAGUCGGUGAUCACACGGGGACUUUCAUGCAAUACCUGGAAGUGAUAUACAUCAUUUCAGCCCACAUUCUGUUGUCCAGAAAACAAUUGGAUGCACCAACCAAACUGAAAAGGCAACUGGGAAAUGGAAUCUUCACUGUGCUCAAGAAAAAAUAAAUAAGAUUGCUAAGCUUAUGGCAGGUCCCUGCCUCAGUUUUACC